This 249-nucleotide ribosomal RNA is filed under the name uncultured prokaryote. RNAcentral's name for it is "partial 16S ribosomal RNA". It matches the Rfam family "Bacterial small subunit ribosomal RNA", at positions 524 to 772 of the family's 1533-position model. The record is from RNAcentral.
UACGGAGGAUGCGAGCGUUAUCCGGAUUUAUUGGGUUUAAAGGGUGCGUAGGCGGCUUAGUAAGUCAGCGGUGAAAUUUUGCAGCUUAACUGUAACAGUGCCGUUGAUACUGCCAGGCUAGGAUUUGGUUGCUGUGGGUGGAAUGUGUGGUGCAGCGGUGAAAUGCUUAGAUAUCACACAGAAUAUCGAUUGCGAAGGCAGCUCACAAAGCCAAGAUUGACGCUGAGGCACGAAAGUGUGGGGAUCGAA